UCUCCUGGAAACGGGUGGUAAUGCCGGAUGUUCCACAUGAGCUCAUGCGAGUGUGGGAAAGGCUUUUUGCGGCAUGGGAUGGGGUCGCGUCCUAUCAGCUUGUUGGUGGGGUAACGGCCUACCAAGGCGUUGACGGGUAGCCGGCCUGAGAGGGCGACCGGCCACAUUGGGACUGAGAUACGGCCCAGACUCCUACGGGAGGCAGCAGUGGGGAAUAUUGCACAAUGGGCGCAAGCCUGAUGCAGCGACGCCGCGUGCGGGAUGGAGGCCUUCGGGUUGUAAACCGCUUUUGUUCAAGGGCAAGGCACGGUUUCGGCCGUGUUGAGUGGAUUGUUCGAAUAAGCACCGGCUAACUACGUGCCAGCAGCCGCGGUAAUACGUAGGGUGCAAGCGUUAUCCGGAUUUAUUGGGCGUAAAGGGCUCGUAGGCGGUUCGUCGCGUCCGGUGUGAAAGUCCAUCGCUUAACGGUGGAUCCGCGCCGGGUACGGGCGGGCUUGAGUGCGGUAGGGGAGACUGGAAUUCCCGGUGUAACGGUGGAAUGUGUAGAUAUCGGGAAGAACACCA
This 564-nucleotide ribosomal RNA is filed under the name uncultured Bifidobacterium sp. Its description in RNAcentral is "bacterial SSU rRNA". It matches the Rfam family "Bacterial small subunit ribosomal RNA", at positions 146 to 711 of the family's 1533-position model. The record is from RNAcentral. Lineage: Bacteria; Bacillati; Actinomycetota; Actinomycetes; Bifidobacteriales; Bifidobacteriaceae.